GAGCGAAGAGUGACCAUUAUGUGACUCCGUUAAAACUCAUCAUCCAAAGCCAGUUGCAUGCUACCAAUAAUUUAAACUAUUAUUUACAGUUAAAGGAUGCUAAAAAUUCGUAUCGGUUUACUAAAAUAGAUUAAAUGAACAAACGGAGUGACUCUUGUUAUUUAGACUUUAUACUUGAAGCCCUUCCAGUCAAAAAGUAAUUAUAUCAAACGUACGGACAUUUGGCAACUGAAAUAACAACAUACAAGACUUCAUUCAAAAGUUUAGGUUCUUUUGGUCUUACGGAAAAGGAUUAUUUAUUUACAAUGGAUGACACGAGAGAUGAAUUGGAUCGCACUUUAGCCCGUUUAGAGGCUGUUUGGGAUGACAUUGGUCUCAAUGAAGAACAGCGGAGAGAAAGGCGUCAUCACUUUAAUGGACACAUUGUUAAUUUGUGUGAAAAAAUAAUUGAUGAUGAGACCGCUUUAAAAACAAGAAUUACAAACAACAUUGAACGUAAUACUCAAGAGAUCCUAAAACUGAGUGAGGGUCUUGGGAUAGUCCCAGAGGAUGCGGUAGAGGGUUUGACCUUAUUGGAUUUAGACACAUUUCUUCAAGAGAGAGUGGAUCAACUUCAACAGCUAAAGGAACAGCGAUUGGAUACUCUGAAGCUUUUGCAAGAAAAGGAUGAAGGAAUUUGUGAAUUACUUUGUGAAACCCCAUAUUAUAUUCCUGCUGGCCUGAUUCCAUCACUUGAAGAUAUAAAGAGUGUUGAAGAACAUGUGAAAUCCAUGGAAACAGAAAAGGAAGAACGAGAGAAGAAUUUUAGAAGUCUGAAGGCAGGGAUACUGAAAUUCCUGGAGCUUCUAGAACAGCCACCAGACGAUUCUUUCUGCCAAGAUAUAAUUUGCUCUGAUGAUGAUGAUUUUCCCCUGGGAAAAGCAUAUUUGCAACAGAUGAGGGGUGUUCACAGUGACCUUGAGUUCCGUGUUAAUGAAAAUGAGGCUAAAUCAUUAGAACUUCGGGAGAAAAUCAACUGGCUGUGGAUUGCUUUAGAAAUACCAGUUGAAGAACAACAGGCUUUCCUCUCUACGGCGCCUAAGCACACUCCCUCAAAUAUUGCAAAGCUAGAGGAAGAGCUAGAGAGACUCAGAUUGCUACGCCUUCAGAAUCUGUCUGUAUUCAUAGAGAAGUUACAAGAAGAACUAGCUACUUGGUGGGAGAAAUGCUAUGUUGGAGAGGAAGAGAGGAAGAAGUUUCUGGAUCAGCAAGCAGAUGAAGCAAGUGAGGAGGUUCUAGAAGCAUAUGAAAAAGAAGUCUUUAAGUGGAAGAAACACUAUGAAGCCAAUGAGGAUAUUUAUAUAUUGGUUACACAGUUUAUGGAUCUUUAUAAUCACAUGUUGGAGUUAGAGGAACGGGCCAAGGAUCCUAGCCGUCUUUUCAACACAAGAGGUGGAGCGCUGCUGCUCGAAGAGAAGGCUAAGAAGAAAGUGAGAACUGAGCUCCCGAGAGUCCAGGAGACUUUACUUGAGAGUGGCAAUGCUUGGGCUCAGCAGGAGGGAAGACCCUUCCAUAUUAAUGGUGCACCUUUGGAAGAUUAUAUUCGAGUGCUUUGGGAGAAUUAUGAUAUAAAGAAAGAGGCAGAAAAAAAUAAAAGACAAGUUAAAGGGGCUAGUGAGGUGAAACGCCCAGCUCUACAUAACCCCAAAACUCCAGCUGGACUCGCAAGUAGUAAGAAAAGGUGUCGUGAAGGUGAAGAUACAGCAAGCACAAAAAAGAUGAAACAGCAUGGUGGUCAGGGUGUAUCUCUGUUUAAGUCCCCUUCAAAAUCAACACUACGCUCACCUACCAAGACGCCCAGAACUAGACCGCUUACGGAACGUAAUGGCCUACUCUGUCCACCAACGCUGUCAUCCAUUGAUACGAGCCUACAAACCACUAUCUCAUAUGACAGAUUUGAAGACAACUUAAGAAGUAGCAGGGAAUGUCUCAACAGUACAACUCUUGACCAAGCUAGUUCAGAAGCAGAGAAGUCAUUCUUAUAGCUUAUGUCUGUGCUUUAACCACUAACUGUCUUCGUGCCUGUCUGGGUCCUAAAGGCUGGUAUUGAUGAAAGGUGUAAUGAAGAAAUAAUACAUUCAUCACUCAUGGAUGACCCAUCCCCUGAGAAAAGCCAUCCACCAGAAGAUCAGAUGAGAGUCCGAAGAUUGAAGGAAACCCUUAACCUUGCGUCUCCCCGAAAAGCGCACGUACGAGGCAAGCAGGCCCCUUGGAUGUCCAGAUUACCAACUGAUAAAGGCACUUUAAGACGAGUGGCUUCCCAGCCAUCUUUGCAUUUGAAACAAGGAGCACUGGCUCCACAUGGCAAACCAUUCUUUCAUAAAGGAUUUAGUAAUAA
Molecule: unclassified non-coding RNA, 2377 nt
Filed under: Penaeus japonicus
Lineage: Eukaryota; Metazoa; Arthropoda; Malacostraca; Decapoda; Penaeidae
Description: protein regulator of cytokinesis 1-like, transcript variant X3
Source: RNAcentral